Non-coding RNA from Salvia hispanica, 323 nucleotides. NCBI's taxonomy places the organism in Eukaryota, Viridiplantae, Streptophyta, Magnoliopsida, Lamiales, Lamiaceae. The record is from RefSeq and is a predicted model, not a curated record.
UACAGUGCAGAUACGGGAGUACCAUCGGCGGCAUCCAGCUUCGCGAUAUGUUGAUACUACUGAUGAGUAUGAACAUCUUCUUAAGGAGGAGCCAGUCAUUGAGUUCACUGGAGAGGAAGCCUUUGGACGGUACCUUGAUUUACAUGAACUAUAUAAUGAGUACAUCAACUCCAAGUUUGGGCAGCAAAUUGAGUACUCUGCUUAUCUUGAUGUGUUUUCAGAUACAACGAAGAUAUCAAACAAAUUGAAGUUAACUAGGUGAAGUUGUUAUAUAUUGUGGAUUUUUGGUCGCUUCUGCAAAAUAUGUCUCCAAGCUCCAUUUA